Molecule: small nuclear RNA, 104 nt
Organism: Mustela putorius furo (domestic ferret)
Lineage: Eukaryota; Metazoa; Chordata; Mammalia; Carnivora; Mustelidae
Source: Ensembl
GGGCUUACUUUGGCUGCACAUGUACUAAAAUUGGAACAAUGCAGAGAUUAGCAUGGCCCCUUUGCAAGGAUGACGCACAGAUUAAUGUAUAGUCCUAAUAGUUU